Long non-coding RNA from Cornus florida, 1479 nucleotides. RefSeq lists it as uncharacterized. Lineage: Eukaryota; Viridiplantae; Streptophyta; Magnoliopsida; Cornales; Cornaceae. The record is from RefSeq and is a predicted model, not a curated record. The transcript is spliced from 3 exons.
CAUUCGCCUCUUAUUUUUAGGGCAAAUCAUUUCAACCUCCCCAAUCGCCUCCAUCUCUAUUCUCGUUCUCAACUCUCUCUCUCUCUCUCUGCAACUGCAAACCACAAGAUCUACAAGAAUCAGAAGUUCAAAACCCAUAUAUUUCAGUUUAUCUAUCUGUCUGCAAGAAUCAAAAGUUCAAAACCUUUUACCUAUAUCAAAAUUCAUAUCGGCAUAUCAUUUCAGAUUGUUCAAAAAAUCAAAACACAUAUCUUUCAGUUUCCAUCGCCCGCUGUUCCAGUUCGGGUUCGCCGUUCGCAAGCUUCAGCCGCUGUCUCUCAACUCUCAAGCUUGCCCCCCCCUCUCUCUGCAACUGCUAACUUGGUUAGCAUUGGGCCUUAACAUUUAGCAAGAACAAGGUUCAAGAAACAUAUCUCCUCAGUCAUCAGGUCUCUUUUACGAAAGAAGAGAGUUGAUGGGAAUGGGUGGAGUGGGCAAAAAAAAUAGGUAUGCUUUUUUUGCCUAGCUAAUUGAAUUAUAUAAAUCAUCCUACCGUUGUAACAGUGAUUUUUGUUUUUGUUUUCUUCGUUUUUUAAUGUUAAUCUUAAAUUUUCAGCUUGGUCGACCAAGCUUUUAUGGGAACGUAGUAUUCAUGUCUAUAAUGAGCGCUAUCCUUCCCAAGUAGAUUUUUUUUCCCGUGUUGAAUGUUGUUUUAUUUCUCUUUAUAAGAAUAGCCUAGUGUUAGAUUUAGAAUAAAUCACUUGUACUUCGUAUGAGAGUGAAAUAAAAGUCAGACACUGGUUUUAAUACCCUCUACUCUCUUAGAAUAGAUGAAUGUUCGUGUAAUUUGUUUUACUCCCUUAUAGUUUUAUCCCCUUGUAAUCAGGAUUAUGUGGAUCAACAAAACCUUUUAGUUAUGCUAUAUAAACUUCUUCCUGCAAAAUACGGUAAAUACAAAUCCGGUAUCGACUAUAAAUAAUAAUCACUAUUAUCUCCGUAUCGACUCAAGUUGUCUCGAAUAGCAGUUAAAGGGCGACAUGUUUGCUUCAUAUCAUACUGCCGUAUAAGUAGUGUGCUGAUGAUCCGAAUGACCUACCGGUUCAAGAUCCAAAUCCGUUCCCGGUUCAGAAUCCAAAUGUGAUUGGCCCGAAUGACAACAACAACCCGGAUGACAACAACCACCCGGAUCCAUGGGGAUUCGACCUUCUCUUUGGGGUUAAUUGCUUUUUUGUCGUUAACUGCUUUUUUGUUUUUGUUUUUGUUUUCUUCGUUGUUGAUCUUGGUUGGUAGACCCAGCUGGAGCAGGAUAAGAAAUAACUGCCAUGGGUGGGAUCAUGAAGGUUUAUGAUGGGUAACAGUGCCCUUCAUGGCAAUGAGAUCUUAAUGUCUGUUAUGCUUGGCGCGCAUAACAUUGUCCCUCCCCAAGUAAGACAGCAAAUCAUUGUGAGAGCAGACAUAGAAGGUUAGGGCAUAUCACUGAGUAAGACUUUGAACAACAAA